GUUUUUAAACAUUCCCAUAUAAUUUGACGAGAAUUUGUCUUCAUUUAUCACACAUAAAUGGUACCUCACACUGGCUCACAAUUUAACAUCUCCAUUUCAUUUUACAUUAAUUUUGCUCUUGCAUUUUUUACAGAAGAGUACGUCACAAUUAAAACAUUACUAUUUAAAUCGACAAGAAUUUGUCUUUGCAUUUAUUACACAUAUGUACGUCACAGUUAAUGCAUUUCCAUUUGAUUUUAUAUAAACAAGGAAAGAAAUUAAGGAGUUGCUUUUUAAAUUCACCAUCAGACUUCAUACAGCAUCAAAACGUUGUUGUAAACUAAGAUAUAAACUUUUACCAUUAGCAAAUUGUUUAAUAAAACUACUAUUUAAUCAUUUUGAAGUUUUUCUUCUGCAGUUUGAAAUAAUGUAAAUUCAGAAAUUAUUCUGUGCAUUUAUUAUCAUGACUUAGUGGAUUGGACAAAAAUGACAGAUUAACUAUUGUGAUUUCAGGAAAAUUUGCCUAAGAAUAUAUGUUUCCUCCAUUGAAUUUUUUUUGUUUUGCAUACUUCAUUCGCAUAG
This 561-nucleotide long non-coding RNA is filed under the name Mytilus galloprovincialis (Mediterranean mussel). The record is from RNAcentral. Lineage: Eukaryota; Metazoa; Mollusca; Bivalvia; Mytilida; Mytilidae.